RNAcentral lists this ribosomal RNA (459 nucleotides) under uncultured bacterium. RNAcentral describes it as "bacterial SSU rRNA". It matches the Rfam family "Bacterial small subunit ribosomal RNA", at positions 340 to 786 of the family's 1533-position model. The record is from RNAcentral.
UACGGAAGGCAGCAGUGGGGAAUAUUGCACAAUGGGCGAAAGCCUGAUGCAGCUAUGCCGCGUGUAUGAAGAAGGCCUUAGGGUUGUAAAGUACUUUCAUCGGGGAGGAAAAAACAAAACUAAUAAUUUUAUUUCUUGACGUUACCCGAAAAAGAAGCACCGGCUAACUCCGUGCCAGCAGCCGCGGUAAUACGGAGGGUGCUAGCGUUAAUCAGAAUUACUGGGCGUAAAGAGCACGUAGGUGGUUUUUUUAAGUCAGAUGUGAAAUCCCUGGGCUUAACCUAGGAACUGCAUUUUGAAACUGAAAUACUAGAGUAUCGUAGAGGGAGGUAGAAGUUCUAGGUGUAGCGGUGAAAUGCGUAGAUAUCUGGAGGAAUACCUGUGGCGAAAGCGGCCUCCUAAACCGAAUACUGACACUGAGGUGCGAAAGCAUGGGGAGCGAAACAGGGAUUAGAUACC